RNAcentral lists this ribosomal RNA (253 nucleotides) under uncultured bacterium. RNAcentral's name for it is "partial 16S ribosomal RNA". It matches the Rfam family "Bacterial small subunit ribosomal RNA", at positions 524 to 776 of the family's 1533-position model. The record is from RNAcentral.
UACGUAGGGUGCGAGCGUUAAUCGGAAUUACUGGGCGUAAAGCGUGCGUAGGCGGUUUCGCAAGUCCGCUGUGAAAGCCCCGGGCUCAACCUGGGAAUGGCAGUGGAAACUAGGAGACUUGAAUCUGGCAGAGGGGGGUGGAAUGCCACGUGUAGCAGUGAAAUGCGUAGAGAUGUGGCGGAACACCGAUGGCGAAGGCAGCCUCCUGGGCCAAUACUGACGCUCAUGCACGAAAGCGUGGGGAGCAAACAGG